GUCCACGCUGUAAACGAUCAAUACUAGGUGUGCGGGGACUAACCCCCUGCGUGCCGCAGCUAACGCAAUAAGUAUUGCACCUGGGGAGUACGAUCGCAAGGUUGAAACUCAAAGGAAUUGACGGGGGCCCGCACAAGCGGUGGAUUAUGUGGUUUAAUUCGAAGCAACGCGAAGAACCUUACCAGGACUUGACAUGGGGAUGACCGCUCUAGAGAUAGAGCUUUCCUUCGGGACAUCCCACACAGGUGGUGCAUGGUUGUCGU
Molecule: ribosomal RNA, 263 nt
Filed under: uncultured bacterium
Lineage: Bacteria
Description: partial 16S ribosomal RNA
Rfam family: Bacterial small subunit ribosomal RNA
Source: RNAcentral